RNAcentral lists this ribosomal RNA (478 nucleotides) under uncultured bacterium. RNAcentral describes it as "partial 16S ribosomal RNA". It matches the Rfam family "Bacterial small subunit ribosomal RNA", at positions 29 to 523 of the family's 1533-position model. The record is from RNAcentral.
AACGAACGCUGGCGGCAGGUCUUAGGCAUGCAAGUCGAACGGGUGUAGCAAUACAUCAGUGGCGCACGAGUGAGUAACGCGUGGGAAUUUGCCCAUCGGUGGGGAAUAACGUUUGGAAACGAACGCUAAUACCGCAUACGUCGAGAAAUCGAGAAAGAUUUAUCGCCGAUGGAUAAGCCCGCGUUGGAUUAGCUUGUUGGUAGGGUAAUGGCCUACCAAGGCGAUGAUCCAUAGCUGGUCUGAGAGGACGAUCAGCCACGCUGGGACUGAGACACGGCCCAGACUCCUACGGGAGGCAGCAGCUAAGAAUAUUGGACGAUGGAGGAAACUCUGAUCCAGCAAUGCCGCGUGUGUGAAGAAGGCCUUCGGGUUGUAAAGCACUUGUGUCCGGGAAGAAAAGGUUUUGGCUAAUAUCCAGAGCUGAUGACGGUACCGGAAGAAUAAGCACCGGCUAACUACGUGCCAGCCGCCGCGGUAA